CCGAUGGGUGCAACGACGCCAUCUGGUGGAUGGCUUGGCUUGGGUGACGAUGAAGGGCGUGGCAAGCUGCGAUAAGCCUCGGGGAGACGCAAGCGGUCUUCGAUCCGAGGAUACCCGAAUGAGACUUCUCACCCAGGGUAAUACCUGGGUAAUCGGGUCAGCAAUGACCCGAUGGUGAACCUCGCGAAGGGAAGCAUCUGAGUAGCGAGAGGAGGAGAAAUCAAUAGAGAUCCCCUGAGUAGGGGCGACCGAAACGGGGAGAGCCCAAACCGAAUCCCUUGCAGUAAUGCAUGGGAGAUGUAGUGUGCCCGGCGGCGCAUGCCGGCCUGAUCGUUCAGUCGAAGUGGCCUGGAAAGGCCCGGCGUAGACGGUGAAACCCCGGUAGAUUAAGGACAGGAGGGUCGGUGCCGCUGGGAAGAGUACCUGGCCUUGGCAGUGGCUAGGGAAGAUGGGGGAAAGCGGCCUCCAAGGCUAAAUACAACCCAAGACCGAUAGCGCAAUAGUAUCGUGAGAGAAAGCUGAAAAGAACCCCGGAAGGGGGGUGAAAAGAGCCUGAAACCAGAUGGUUACAGACGUGUGCUGCUCAGAAGGAUCCAAGACCUAGUCGCUGGCCCGCAAGGGUCAGUGGCGGGGCUAGGAACCAGGGUAGCACGUUCCGUCUAGAAACACGGGCCGGGGAGUUCAUUUUCAUGGCGAGCUUAAGGGUUCAAAGCCCGAAGGCGAAGGGAAACCGGAACCUCGCAGCGUCGCAAGGCGUGAGGAGGGGGGUCUUAAAUGGGCUCCAAAGUCAUGAGGAUGAGACUAGAAACCGAGCGAUCGUGUCUCGAGCAGGAUGAAGCUGGGCGAAAGCCUGGUGGAGGUCCGAAAGGGUGCUGACGUGCAACUCGCUCCCCAGACUCGAGAUAAGGGGCCAAAAGCCAAUCUAGCUCGGUGAUAUCUAGUUCCCACCGAAGUAGAUCUAAGUCUAGCCCGGAUGGAUGUUGCCAGCGCCGUAGAGCACCGAUAGAAAGGCAAGGAUCCGAAAGGGUCCACCUUUCCUUCGAACUCCGAAUGUGCUGGCUCAGAAGAAGUCCGGAGACGGGUUUGUGUGGGGUAAGCCUCACAACCGAGAGGGGGUUAACCCAGACUUGAGUUAAGGUCCCCAAGUGCUGGCUAAGUGUCAAGCAAAAGGGCGUUUCUUUGCUCAGACAGCAGGGAGGUAGGCUCAGAAGCGGCCAUCCUUCAAAGAGUGCGUAACAGCUCACCUGCCGAGUAGGGGAGCCCCGAAGAUGGACGGGACUAAAGCCAGUCACCGAUACUCAGGAUCACCCCUGGGAUGCAGGGGUGGUGGUAGGUGGGCGUAGAGAUUGGGUCGAAGCGGGGCCGUGAGGUCCCGUGGACCGAUUUCUAGUGCAGAUCCCGGCGGUAGUAGCAGCGAAGCGUGGUGAGAAUCCACGCCGCCGAAAGGGCAAGGUUUUCCUGGCAACGCGUCGUCGGCCAGGAGGUAGCCGGUCCUAAGCGAUGCCCGAAAGGGUGUGGCGAAGAGGGAAGCCAGUUAAUAUUCUGGCGCCUGGACAAGACCGCGCCGCAAGGCACACUUGAUCUUGCGCUUCCAGAUAGGGCGUGCGGGGUCGUCGCCCCGUUUAACAGUCCGAGUCCUGGGGAGUGUCGUAAUGACGAGAACCAGGAAGAGGCUGGAAUAGCCUGCCCGUGGGCGGGUACGCCCGAUUCCGGGGGACAGUGAAAACAAGAUCGAGGAGGUCCUGUCUAGCCCGUACCGAGAACCGACACAGGUGUCCCUAGGUGAGAAGCCUCAGGCGUAUCGGGUAACCGUAGGCGAGGGAACUCGGCAAAUUAGCCCCGUGACUUCGGUUUAAGGGGUGCCUGCGGUCUUAUCGAUGAGAUGGGAUCGCAGGUCGCAGUGACAAGGGGGUCCCGACUGUUUAAUAAAUCGGAAAGGACCUCCGGCCAAGAGACAACGGUCUUCAAAUACCAUUGUAGCCUAGUCUAGAGAAAUGAAAAUCGACCCGUACCUUACAGCAAUCCUGUAUGGUGAUGGGUCAGUUUCCUUAAGAAAGGAUGGCGCAUAUGCAAUCUGGAUUGACCAAGCAGAAAUCAACAGAGACAUAAUGGUGAACGAAGUGAUUCCAAGGCUCCGGCAUCUUGGAAGCAAAGUAUACGUAUACAGAUAUUAUGCAAAAAAGGACAAGACAUACAAAUUCAGGGCUCUGAUAUACUCAAAGCAGGUGUACAAAUCGUUGAAGUUCAUUUUCAAUAGCAUCGAUACGUAUCUCAACGAACUUUCGAAUUAUGAAGCACGAACUUUCAUUGCAGGUCUGAUGGAUGCGGAAGGAACAGUUACCGAUCGAAUAGUAAUCUAUAAUAGUAAUCGCAAGUUGCUCGAAGCAGUCAGGAACAAACUCAUUCAGAUGGGUUUUGAAUACGUAUACAUCUUACAGGUUUGGUCGAAUCUUCGGUCUCCAGAUUUAUAGACGCAACAUCCUCAGUAAAUUCUUCGAAGAGAUUCCAGCUUGGAAGCUAAAGUCGCGUUUUAACAAAAUAUUUGGUUUUGAUGACUGAUGAACUGGCUAGAGGAGGUACCUUCCGAGUUAACAAACACAGGUGACUGCAAGCCCGAAAGGGUGUGUACAGUCACUGAAUCCUGGCCAGUGGCGGUACCUAAAACCUUCGUUCAAGAGGGCUAAGGGCCGCUUAACGCCGGGAGUAACUCUGACUCUCAGCAAAAGUAAAAGGGAGUCCCUAAACCCAGCCAUAUGCGGGAACAUCGGAAUACCCUUAACUACCUAAAAUGGUAAUAAUGUUAAGGGCGUUGAAGACAAUCCGCAGGAAACCUCGGAGCGAACAAAAUCAUGUUAUAUGAAUUCAAAGACCUAAUCGAUGUCGACUACUUGCCAUCUAAACUCAAUCAUCUAAAAUGGCACAUUACGGGCUUCGUCGAUGGUGAUGGAAGCUUUCCUGUGAUUCUAUCACCCGUAGCAAACAAGAAACACGGUUGGUUGAUUCAACCAAGAUUCGAAAUAGAACUUAGAAAUAACAACGAUUCACUAACUAUGCUCAAGAUAAUCAGCAGGUCUAUGAACCUCAGACCAAAGCUUAUUCAAGGGAAUAACUUCGUGAAGCUCAUCAUAACAAACAGGCGUCUCCUUCUUGAGAAACUCAUACCGUUCUUCGAAAAAUACAAACCUGUCCUGAAAUCCGAAGACUUUGCACUACUGAAGUAUGUCGCAGAGUCACUCGAUUCGAAGAAACAUAUGGAAUACAACGGAUUCAAGGACAUCAUAACACAGGUCUUUUCUACGCCUUCAGAUGCCGAAGGAAGGAGAAGGUGGGCCUUCAACGACAUCAUCAAAGACGAACCAACUCCACCUACAAAGACAGCGGCCGUUCCAAUCUUUUCAGAAGGUGCAGAAUUGCGUCACUAUCUUGCAGGAUUCAUCGAUGCUGAAGGAGCUUUGGGUUAUGCAGUAGUAUCAAAGACGAAGACAAUCACGCCGUACCUUACGAUAACAAACCAGAAUACGGCAAUACUUCAAAAGCUCCAGCAGGUGUUGAUGUGUGGAAACAUCAGCACAGGAAGACUUCAAAUUUACGGGAUGGACAACAUUCAACACAAGGUCAUCCCAUUCUUGGAUAAGCACAGACUGCUCGCAAAACGAACAACAUACGUGAAAUUCAAAGAAAUAUUGAACGUCUUGAAGGAUAAUAAACACAAGACACACUUCGAUAACGUAUUGAGCAUGAUUCGUUCGUUGAAUGACCGGGGAAUCCUCAGAGACCACACGCUGGGCACCUAUCCCAAACAAAGGGAAGGUGAAGAUAUGGUCCAGCAUCAAAAGGAUGUUGCUUAAGGUAGCCAAAUGCCUUGUCGGGUAAGUUCCGACGUGCAUGAAUGGACCAACGAGGGCCCCGCUGUCCCCGUCUACGACCCGGCGAACCUACGUAAGGUGGACGAACAGUCCAUCAACUUCCAUCGGGGAGAGAAGUCCCUGUGGAGCUUUACUGCAGCUUGUUGCUGCGAUGCGGUCUUCUUUGCAGAGUGUAGCUGGGAGACUUCGAAGCGCUGCCUUCGGGUGGCGUGGAGUCAACAAUGUAACACCAGCCUUAGUGGACUGCGUCGCUAACUCCUAAGGGAGGACAACGGCAGGUGGGCAGUUCGGCUGGGGCGGCACCCCCUUGAAAAGAUAUCGAGGGGGCCCUAAGGUCGGCUCAUCUGGGUCAGAACUCCAGAGUUGACGGCAAGGCGAAAAGCCGGCCUGACAGGAAGUUUAAACGCAGAACUUUCUGCAACGAAAGUUUGGCCUAGCGAUCCUCCAAGUCCUCACUGUUGGGGGCUGGAGGUGACAGAAAAGUUACCCCAGGGGUAACAGGCUCGUCGCGGGCGAGAGCUCCUAUCGACCCCGCGGUUUGGUACCUCGAUCAACGGAUUUGGGGUAUGACCGCAGCAAUGCGGGUCAAUAGCAUCGGCUUAUAACGGCGAAGCCCGACGCCUCACGGGAAGACGAGGCAGGGUAACGCCGUGGGAAGUCUGAUGAGUUUUUCGCAUAUUGAAUGAGCGGAUGGCUUGCCAGCUGUAAAUUUCCUUCAAAAGUGAACAGUUAUAUACAAUGUUCAACAUAAACUGAAUAAGAUGCAUUUCGUAACAUUGGUCAAGUUCCGGAAAAAGCCAACCAAGCAGGACUUUGCCGAAGAAGACAAACUCGAAAAGGAAUUCGCAAAGAAGGGGCUGAAGGUAAAGCAGGAUUUCUACACACUCGGCAGAUAUGACAACAUAAUGGUGAUAGAAGCACCAGACGAGAAGACCGUGGCCUCAUUUCUUCUGCGACAAUCACAGAUCGUAGCUACCGAAACGCUGGCGGCGAUUCCGAGAAGCGAAGGAAGAAAGCUGGUUUAGGCCUUUCCGCGGACUCAUCAUGACCCCGUAACGACUGAGGUCGCAAGUAGAGCGGCCGAUGAGAUAGCGUCUGCCAGAUUUCUUCUGGUGUAGCUAUCAUACGCCGACCCCUCCAUGUGCGUGGAGGGUGAAGACAUAGUCUAACUCCGCCGGAAACGGUGGAUAAAAGUUGCGAUGUCGGCUCUUCCCAUCCCGGUCCUGCAGCAGGGGCCAAGGGUGGGGCUGCUCGCCCAUUAAAGGGGAACGUGAGCUGGGUUUAGACCGUCGUGAGACAGGUCGGUCUCUACCUGAUGGAAGCGGCGGCCAUCUGAGGGGAAGUUGUCCCUAGUACGAGAGGAACAGGGCAAGGCGGCCUCUGGUAUACCGAUCCUCCGACAGGGGGACGCCGGGUAGCUAAGCUGUUGAGGAUAACCCCUGAAAGCAUCUAAGGGGGAAGCCUUUCCCGAGAAGAAUCACCCGCUCGUUUCUUGUUUCUGGCCGCAAGGCUGGGGGCAGGGGCGAGGAAGGACUCCGAUAGAAGAUCGGUUUGAUAGGACGGAGGUGUACGCUGGAAGUUCCGCAAGGAGCGACCAGUUCAGCCUGCCGUUACUAAUCGUCCAACGCUCCCGUCAU
Molecule: ribosomal RNA, 5503 nt
Filed under: Nitrososphaerota archaeon
Lineage: Archaea; Thermoproteati; Nitrososphaerota
Description: 23S ribosomal RNA
Rfam family: Archaeal large subunit ribosomal RNA
Source: RNAcentral